RNAcentral lists this ribosomal RNA (253 nucleotides) under uncultured bacterium. RNAcentral's name for it is "partial 16S ribosomal RNA". It matches the Rfam family "Bacterial small subunit ribosomal RNA", at positions 524 to 776 of the family's 1533-position model. The record is from RNAcentral.
UACGAAGGGGGCUAGCGUUGCUCGGAAUCGCUGGGCGUAAAGCGCACGUAGGCGGCUUCUUAAGUCAGGGGUGAAAUCCUGGAGCUCAACUCCAGAACUGCCUUUGAUACUGAGAAGCUUGAGUCCGGGAGAGGUGAGUGGAACUGCGAGUGUAGAGGUGAAAUUCGUAGAUAUUAGCUAGAACACCAGUGGCGAAGGCGGCCAACUGGUCCGGUACUGACGCUGAGGUGCGAAAGCGUGGGGAGCAAACAGG